AUAGCAUAUAUUAAAGUUGUUGCAGUUAAAAAGCUCAUAGUUGAACUUCAGACCUGGCCAGGCAGUCUGCUUAACGGCAUGUACUGUCUGGGUGGGGCUUACCUCUUGGUGAGCCGGCGUGCCCUUCAUUGGUGUGCGUUGGGGAACCAGGACUUUUACCUUGAGAAAAUUAGAGUGUUCAAAGCAGGCCUAUGCCCGAAUACAUUAGCAUGGAAUAAUAAAAUAGGACGCGCAGUUCUAUUUUGUUGGUUUCUAGAGUCGCCGUAAUGAUUAAUAGGGAUAGUUGGGGGCAUUGGUAUUGAGUCGCUAGAGGUGAAAUUCUUGGAUUGACUCAAGACCGACUACUG
This 347-nucleotide ribosomal RNA is filed under the name uncultured eukaryote. RNAcentral describes it as "SSU rRNA". It matches the Rfam family "Eukaryotic small subunit ribosomal RNA", at positions 594 to 945 of the family's 1831-position model. The record is from RNAcentral.